Molecule: ribosomal RNA, 491 nt
Filed under: uncultured bacterium
Lineage: Bacteria
Description: partial 16S ribosomal RNA
Rfam family: Bacterial small subunit ribosomal RNA
Source: RNAcentral
AGUGAACGCUGGCGGUAGGCCUAACACAUGCAAGUCGAACGGCAGCACAGUAAGAGCUUGCUCUUACGGGUGGCGAGUGGCGGACGGGUGAGGAAUACAUCGGAAUCUACUUUUUCGUGGGGAUAACGUAGGGAAACUUACGCUCAUACCGCAUACGACCUACGGGUGAAAGCAGGGGAUCUUCGGACCUUGCGCGAUUGAAUGAGCCGAUGUCGGAUUAGCUAGUUGGCGGGGUAAAGGCCCACCAAGGCGACGAUCCGUAGCUGGUCUGAGAGGAUGAUCAGCCACACUGGAACUGAGACACGGUCAAGACUCCUACGGGAGGCAGCAGUGGGGAAUAUUGGACAAUGGGCGCAAGCCUGAUCCAGCCAUACCGCGUGGGUGAAGAAGGCAUUCGGGUUGUAAAGCCCUUUUGUUGGGAAAGAAAAGCAGCAGGUUAAUACCCCGCUGUUCUGACGGUACCCAAAGAAUAAGCACCGGCUAACUUCGUG